UACAGGAAGGUUUUGAAAAUAGUUUCAAUAAAGACUUUUAUUCUAUUUAUUUAUGAAAUAAAUUGAUUGUACGAGGUCUUUUAAUUGACAAUCUAUAUCACUUGCAUGUUAAUGCGAAUGUGAAUCUGAAUGAGCAAAUAAUGAGUGCCGUAGGACAAAAGAGACUCAGAGAUGAAAUUAACUAGAAGUACUUGUGGCAUCAUAGACUAGGCC
Molecule: long non-coding RNA, 213 nt
Filed under: Elaeis guineensis (African oil palm)
Lineage: Eukaryota; Viridiplantae; Streptophyta; Magnoliopsida; Arecales; Arecaceae
Description: long non-coding RNA (EGUI_LNC067801)
Source: RNAcentral